Molecule: non-coding RNA, 24 nt
Filed under: Cricetulus griseus (Chinese hamster)
Lineage: Eukaryota; Metazoa; Chordata; Mammalia; Rodentia; Cricetidae
Source: RNAcentral
AAGGGAAAGCCAGACUCAAAAGAC